UGUAAAUCCGGAAUGAACACGCAAAGGCAUAAUUCACCAUAUCCCUUCCAAAUCAAGUAGAGUCCAUGUGUGUUUCAAUACAUUUAGCAAACGCAUGCUCCUGUGGUUUGGAGCCACUUGAUUCGGAUGAAUGAAGUCCGUUUAAGAUCUUCAUGUAUAUCUCUGAUCCCAUAGAGAUGUUAUUAUGACCACAUUCAUAGGCUGCAUGUUCAGUUAUUCGGAACUACCAAACUGACAAAGUAGUGGAAUGCAAUGACAUCCAUUACGAGAGCAUAUCUCAUCGUAGUCGAUCAUAGUGCGUGUUAGUGAGAGACCUUGCGCCAUAAGGUGAGUCUAAGCUCUUGUUCUCACUACGCUAUCUAACAAAGGUAUAGUUGAUAGGGUUUAGCUUGUGGUGUCGGCAUCACUUGCCCAAGGACCGAUCUCUUUGUUAAUGCUGGAUCGCAUCUUUCCAUUAGGCCAAUCAACUAAGUUGAUAUCCAUCAACGAAGGGUGGUUCGAUAGUAGACUCAUUAUCUCACGUCCUCAUGUACACUAGUGUAAUACCUGUAGAGAUCUCUAUAUGGAUUGGAUUUGACAUUGAGGCGUCCCCCAACGAUAAUCACAAUUCAGACUUCAUGAGACGGAUUUGAGUAUCACUGAUCAAUGGAUCAGGUUGUGCCAAUCUCGCUUUCUUCCUAGUGCGAGAAUAUAUCGAACCUAAGGGCCUCCCUCCUUUUAGGGAGCCACACGGCCUUGUGACACUAAUUUUGCCACUAUAUGGCGUCUCCAUAUCACCAUCCAUGGUGAUGGCGCCAAGACCAACUUCUUUUGGUCGCGCCAUGUCCUUUUGUAGGACAUCAAUCCUUGCAGACAUAUUUGCAGCAUGUGAUCUCGUCACUUUAACACUAUAAGCAUUUGGGAUCAAGAUGAGACUUAGUGGGGACAAACCACGACAAUUCACGUCGUUCCACUUGAAAACUUGUGUUCUUUUCUCCCCUUAACGGCGGGAAUAUUGUCUCAUCAAAGUGACAAUCCGUAAUUUAGCGGUGAAUGAGAUCGCCUGACAAGGUUUCUACAUAUGCGGAUUAUAGGUGGAGGUUCAUAUCCAACCUAAACUUAUUCAUCUCAAAUGACCAAUCAUUGUACGCAAUGGCAAUGCGAUUUGGCAUCUAGAAAUAACAUCUAGCCGAGCUCAAGGAUUGGAGAUCCGUUUCAAUCUUGCCGAGCUCAAGGAUUGCAAUUUCGUGUCAAUCUUGGUACACAGUCACGAGCUGUAGUACAACAAAAUUCAAUGAUGGUGG
This 1283-nucleotide long non-coding RNA is filed under the name Fragaria vesca (wild strawberry). Its description in RNAcentral is "long non-coding RNA (FVES_LNC004234)". Lineage: Eukaryota; Viridiplantae; Streptophyta; Magnoliopsida; Rosales; Rosaceae. The record is from RNAcentral.